AUUGAACGCUGGCGGCAGGCCUAACACAUGCAAGUCGAGCGGAUGAAGGGAGCUUGCUCCUGGAUUCAGCGGCGGACGGGUGAGUAAUGCCUAGGAAUCUGCCUGGUAGUGGGGGAUAACGUCCGGAAACGGGCGCUAAUACCGCAUACGUCCUGAGGGAGAAAGUGGGGGAUCUUCGGACCUCACGCUAUCAGAUGAGCCUAGGUCGGAUUAGCUAGUUGGUGGGGUAAAGGCCUACCAAGGCGACGAUCCGUAACUGGUCUGAGAGGAUGAUCAGUCACACUGGAACUGAGACACGGUCCAGACUCUUACGGGGGGCAGCAGUGGGGAAUAUUGGAAAAUGGGCGAAAGCCUGAUCCAGCCAUGCCGCGUGGGUGAAGAAGGGCUUCGGAUUGUAAAGCACUUUAAGUUGGGAGGAAGGGCAGUAAGUUAAUACCUUGCUGUUUGGACGUUACCAACAGAAUAAGCACCGGCUAACUUCGU
RNAcentral lists this ribosomal RNA (483 nucleotides) under uncultured bacterium. RNAcentral describes it as "partial 16S ribosomal RNA". It matches the Rfam family "Bacterial small subunit ribosomal RNA", at positions 30 to 506 of the family's 1533-position model. The record is from RNAcentral.